Molecule: small nuclear RNA, 153 nt
Organism: Capsicum annuum
Lineage: Eukaryota; Viridiplantae; Streptophyta; Magnoliopsida; Solanales; Solanaceae
Product: U1 spliceosomal RNA
Exons: 1
Source: RefSeq, a predicted model, not a curated record
AGGAAAUGUAAAAUGAAAAUCAAAGAUAACAAUCCAUUAAAGGUUGGUGACAUCCGUUGCACUUUGGAGGGGUGUCUAUCUAAGGCCAAUUUAAGAGAUCGAGCCUACAUCAUAAUUUAUAAUAGAGAGGGUCUGCGUUCACGCGGUCCCUAC